UGGGGAAUAUUGCACAAUGGGCGAAAGCCUGAUGCAGCAACGCCGCGUGAGUGAUGACGGUCUUCGGAUUGUAAAGCUCUGUCUUUGGGGACGAUAAUGACGGUACCCAAGGAGGAAGCCACGGCUAACUACGUGCCAGCAGCCGCGGUAAUACGUAGGUGGCAAGCGUUGUCCGGAUUUACUGGGCGUAAAGGGUGCGUAGGCGGACCUUUAAGUGAGAUGUGAAAUCCCCGAGCUUAACUUGGGGGCUGCAUUUCAAACUGGAGGUCUAGAGGGGAGGAGAGGAGAGUGGAAUUUCUAGUGUAGCGGUGAAAUGCGUAGAGAUUAGGAAG
Molecule: ribosomal RNA, 332 nt
Filed under: uncultured bacterium
Lineage: Bacteria
Description: bacterial SSU rRNA
Rfam family: Bacterial small subunit ribosomal RNA
Source: RNAcentral